UUUUUCUUUUUUUUUUAAGAUUUUAUUUAUUUUUUCAUGAGAGACAGAGAGAGAAAGAGAGGCAGAGACACAGGCAGAGGGAGAAGCAGGCUUCAUGCAGGGAGCCCGAUGUGGGACUUGAUCCCGGGUCCCCAGGAUCAUGCCGGGGGCUGAAGGCGGCGUUAAACUGCUGAGCCACCCAGGCCACCCAAGACUAAGCUUUUUUUAAAGGGAUAUGUGAACUGCAGAAAUAGCCGAGAUGUCCACCAACAGAUGAAUGGAUAAAGAAGAUGUGGUGUAUAUAUACAUAUACAAUGGAAUAUUACUCAGCCAUCAGAAAGGAUAAAUACCAUUUACACUGAUGUGGAUAGAACUGGAGGGUAUUAUGCUGAGUGAAAUAAGUCAGUCAAAGAAAGACAACUGUGUGGUUUCACUCAUAUGUAGAAUAUAAGAAAGAGUACCAAGGAUCAUAUGGAAGGGAAGGAAAACUGAAUGGGAAGAAAUCAGAGAGGGAGACAAACUAUGAGAAUCUCUUAGCCAUAGGAAACAAACUGAGGGGUUGCUGGAGGGGAGGUGGGGGAGGAGAUAGAGUAAAUGGGUGAUGGGCAUCUGAAACUAAGUUUGUACUAUAUGUUGGCUAAUUGAAUUUAAAUGUAAAAAAAUAAAGGGAAAUGUGAGGCUGACAUAUCUGAAGCAACUGUGAAGGAGGGGGUUACGAGAUACAGGAAACCUACCAGAUGGUCAGAAUUUAUUUAAUAUUGAGCUAAUUUAAUCAUGGUUCCCAUCCCCUAAAGAAUUGGUGAAAAACAGGUAGUCAGACCAACUCAGUCUAAGAACAGCUUUCUUCAAGAACGGACAAUCCAGCAGUUUAUGUUUCCUUUGACAAAAAUAAUUGAUUUCAAUUUUGUAUACCUUUUUGUUCAUUUUGUGUAUGUAUGUAUUAUUAUUAUUAUAUUAUUAUUAUUAUUAUUAUUAUUAUUUUAAAGUAGGCUCCAUGCCCAACAUGGGGUUUGAACUCACAAGCCUUGAGAGUAAGAGUUGCAUCUCUACCGACUGAUCCAGGCCCCUGGAUCACUUUAAAAGGCAAUUUUCCUGUGAAAAUUUACCAAAAAAAUGCAAAAUUUAUGAAUUUUAGAGUGUCCAAGGGAGAAUAGUGGUGGCAGGGAUUAAGAGACUACAACCGUCUAGCUAUUGGCCAUGAUCAGAAAUGUGAAUGUCCCCUUAUAAGUGGUCUCUACAAGGAUAUUGGCUAUAAAGGUAUUGUAAGCAGUAGUACCUUGCAUUUAUGGAUUCUUUAUAUAGAUAUAUGUUAUUAUUUCUGAUGGUAAGCAAAAUUUCAUUUAUUUUGAAAUGAGGAUAUGGAAGCUCAGUGUGAUUAAGUGACUUGCUCAAGGUAACAAAAGACCAAAGGAGAGAAGUUGGAUUCUAACUUUUAGUUCAAUGUCUUUUGCAUUUGGCCACCAUCUGAGCAGUACUUGCAUACACUCUAUGUCUAACACAGGCAUAUCUCAGAGAUAUUAUGGCUUCAGCUUCAGAUCAUCACAACAAAGAGUGUCAAAUGAAUUUUUUGGUUUUCCAGUGCAUGUAAAAGUUAGGUUUACACUAUUCUGUAGUCUAUUAAGAGUGCAGUAGCAUUAUGUCUAAAAAGAAGUAUAUACCUUCAUUAAAACACUUUAUUGCUAGCAAAUGCUAACCCACAUCUGAACUUUCAGUGAGUUGUAAUCACUGAUCACCAUAACAAACAAGAUAAUAAUGGAAAAGUUUGAAAUAUCGAGAGAAUCAUCAAAAUGUGACAGAGAUAAGAAAUGAGAAACGCUGUUGGAAAAAUGGUGCUGACAGAUUUGUUGAGGCAGGGUUGCUACAACUGCUCAAUUUGCAAAAAGUACAGAAGCGUAGUAAUGCACAGCCCAGUAAAAAACAAGGUAUGCCUAUAAUGCUGUACAAACAAUUACCAAGGAACUUUGGAGUCAUUUUAGCACUGUGCUUAUAAUUUUUUUAAAUUUACUUUCUUCCCCACUCCUUGCAGAAAAGAUAUAAUAGAGGUCAAAGAAGGGGCAUUCUCCGGUCCGAGAGAAUCCGGAAUUAAUAGGGUGUAAAUAAGGGAUUAGUCUUUAAGAGUUCCUCCCAGAAGCAAGUGAAUCUCAUCUUCUGCAUGUAAUCCCAGUAAUGUUAGAUUUUAAUGAUAUAAAAGUGUUAGAAAUGGUUACGAGAGGACAAUGGCCAGGGCAGUUCUAAAUGGCCCACUUGAAACACUGGAAAUGAGAAUGAAAAGAAUGUUGUCAGCCCUGCCCAAGGGAGACGCCAGCAGAGGAGCUCAAGUCUCUGAUAACCCAGAAGAUUUGCUGAUGAGUGGAACAGAAAUAAUCUUUCACAAAGUUUUGUGAUCACCCAACUCCUAUGACUGCUCUAACCCACCUGCUUCUACGUGCCCUCAAACCAGGCUGAAAACAUCUGGCAAAUACCAGCUUGCCGUCAGGUGCUUUUGCACUGAGAAGGUACCAUUGGCAACAACAGAAAUAUCUAGACAUUGUAAAAGGUUUUUUCCCACACACACUGACUUAGUACAGAUUCAUUCAACAAGCAUUGAUUGAGUCACAGUGCUCAGUACUCAGGAAUCAAAAAUGAUAAAGAUAGCCUUGCCCUUUAUGAGCUCAGAAUCUAAUUGGCUUUCUGGUGCAAAUUAGUUUUAUGUGAAUUGAAAGGGCAGGAAUCAAUUAUGCGAAGGCCUAAAACCUCCUGGGUGAGUAAAUCACAGGGAUCCAGAUGGAAAAACUGAGAAAUCUCUAAGAAGUUCCAAGGUGAGAGCAAGUCUAGCACCCCAGCCGAAAGAAACCAGCACUGAGUCAAACCCACAUCAGCACUGGUACAUUUUCUCAAUAUUUCACCAAUGUCCUUUCAGCAGGCAUAGUUAGGGAUCUUCAGUUUAGCACCAGAGAAUCUACUGCUGGGAAGGGACAUCUAGACAAUACUCUUUAGUCUUUCCUCUUGUAUUUAUCUCCCUUUGUGAGUUCCCGACUCUGAGUGCUACUCCCCGGCAUGUGACCCCUACCGCCUAUCCCCUUAGAGUCUUGAAACAAAUACAAACCAGUUGGUCUUGUUCAUUCGUUUCGGCUGAAAGUAGCCUGACACUUUGAGAAGUUUUUCUGCUAAAUAUUCAAGAACAGAAGGGCAAUGAGGAGAAUAUUACAUCUACAGGCAAGCUAAUUAGGAAAAAUUUUCCAACCCAUCAAAGCGAGUUAGCUUACAGGGCUAUCUUGUUCUCUAUGGGAUUCCCUGAAAAAGGGGGCAGCUACCCUCUAGAUCCCAAGGACUCAAGGAACCCCACCAGCAGGGCAGGCUAUUGUCCCCUUUCUAGCCCCAGCUGGCCCCCACAUGGCAAGCUUCAGAAUGCUGUCCCCACCCAGCACUGUUAACCAAAGACACAAGGGACAUUUCAAUUUCUGGCUGGGAGUCUGACCCGUCGUUGAUACCAGGAAGAAAACCAUGCUCAGGAUGAAUUUUCCUUGGCAUGGGGUCAGCUGAAGCCUGACAUCUUACUACAACAUUAUAUCCACACAGCACUCACAGGACAGAGUUCCAUGUGCGAAGUCGGCCCCUCACUCAUUCCCGUUGACUCAGAUCCCCCUUCCUGCAAAUGUAGAGGAGGGAAGGCCAAGACAAUCAGAGGCCAGAAAAGUUACAGAAGGAGCAGGGAAAUCUCCUGCAUUUGUUGG
RNAcentral lists this long non-coding RNA (3692 nucleotides) under Canis lupus familiaris (dog). RNAcentral's name for it is "lncRNA (ENSCAFG00000051160.1)". Lineage: Eukaryota; Metazoa; Chordata; Mammalia; Carnivora; Canidae. The record is from RNAcentral.